UACAGAGGUGGCAAGCGUUGUUCGGAAUUACUGGGCGUAAAGGGCGCGUAGGCGGUCCUGUAAGUCCUGUGUGAAAUCCCCCGGCUCAACUGGGGAAUUGCACGGGAAACUGCGGGGCUUGAGUUCGGGAGAGGGAAGCGGAAUUCCGGGUGUAGCGGUGAAAUUCGUAGAUAUUCGGAGGAACACCAGUGGCGAAGGCGGCUCACUGGCUCGGUACUGACGCUGAGAUGCGAAAGCGUGGGGAGCAAACAGG
RNAcentral lists this ribosomal RNA (253 nucleotides) under uncultured bacterium. Its description in RNAcentral is "partial 16S ribosomal RNA". It matches the Rfam family "Bacterial small subunit ribosomal RNA", at positions 524 to 776 of the family's 1533-position model. The record is from RNAcentral.